Molecule: transfer-messenger RNA, 87 nt
Filed under: Flavobacteriaceae bacterium
Lineage: Bacteria; Pseudomonadati; Bacteroidota; Flavobacteriia; Flavobacteriales; Flavobacteriaceae
Description: partial transfer-messenger RNA
Rfam family: transfer-messenger RNA
About the family: Bacterial tmRNA, also known as 10Sa RNA or SsrA, is named for its dual tRNA and mRNA-like properties. Its role is to liberate the mRNA from a stalled ribosome.
Source: RNAcentral
GGGCAAGACCCUGAAUACAGCCUAAACAUGUAGACGCUGACUGAACGAUUUAUUCGGACGCGGGUUCAACUCCCGCCGCCUCCACAA